UUGAAAGUUUCUUUAGAGAAACAGGUACAGCAUGGGCAGUGGCUGAGCCAGCUUCCCCACAUCCUAUCCUGCUAAUGUGCUUCAGGCUCAUCCUGAAGGGGUGAGAGGGCAGUUCAAUCUCUGGCCUUU
This is an unclassified non-coding RNA of Chrysemys picta bellii (western painted turtle), 129 nucleotides long. The record is from Ensembl. NCBI's taxonomy places the organism in Eukaryota, Metazoa, Chordata, Testudines, Emydidae.